UAGUGCCAUUUUAUGGGAGGAACUGGAGCCCAGAGAAGUGAAAUGACUUGCUCCCACAUAUGGAGUUAAUUAGGUGAUAAGUGCCAUCACUUUUCAGCAUCUCCUGACUUGUAGUCCGGGUCUCUUCUGGCAGUGCUUGUGCAGCGAAGCCGUCACCCCACUCAGCAUCACUGGCGGGUUCUCACUCUGCAGUCAGGAAAAGGAAAACAUCCGAUAAGCAGGCUGAUUCCUUUUACUACACAGUAAAGACCAGGAAGCAGGCUUUCUGCAGACAAAUUGGCUUCCAGUUCACCCAUCCGGUAACAAACAUAUGGAGACGCAAGCCAGGGUGUUUGUUACCUGAGAGAGGACCUUCUCUGCAGAAGCUUGAGGGAGAUAUGACUGCUUUGACCUGAGGAAGCAACACUUCCACCUGAUAAAUUACAAAAGCUUUACUUCUGAAGAACAUGCAGUAAGAUACCUGAACAUUUCUGCUUCUAGACAGGACUGCUGCAGAUAUUAAUGGCUGGGGCUUCUCCGAAUAAGAAGAGACGCAACAAUAGGGCGGUAAUGCAGAUGAACUUUACUACUGACAACCAUACAAGAAUUGUUAAUAUUAACUAAACUGGAUAAAGUAGUACAACUUUGAUGGAGUUCAUGAUGUAGCCAUUUAACUGAUAAAAACAAGAAGGCUUUAAGGUAAAGGACAUCAUUUACAAAAAACUGCAAGAAAAAGUACAACACAGAAUCACAGGAACUAUAAUUGGAACUUUGUAAGUAUUUAAAUACCUGUCAAAAAGGGAAUUUAGAAGAAACGAAGGGAAUAAAAAUAUAAAUAUA
Long non-coding RNA from Hyaena hyaena (striped hyena), 819 nucleotides. RefSeq lists it as uncharacterized. The record is from RefSeq and is a predicted model, not a curated record. The transcript has 5 exons. Lineage: Eukaryota; Metazoa; Chordata; Mammalia; Carnivora; Hyaenidae.